GAAAUUGUUUAUAAAAUUUUCUAAUUAUUAUUACCACUGAAUAUACCUGUAUAUUGCUACAAUAUACAGGUGUGGUAUACGUUUUUUUUUUGGUGGGUUUGAAUAUUCUUUUCUUUUUUUUUGGGCGCGUUCGCCGUCCGUCUGUUUUUGCUUUCAUCAUCAUCAUAAUAAUCAUCUUGUGUAGAAUUUUGGAAUUGAAAUAGAUUGUCAUCAUUAUCACUUGUCAUCGUCUUGCUAAUCGAAUCAUCACACCAACAACAACAACAACAACAAAGAUUGUCUCGAAUAAUAGAUGUACAUACAAUAAAUUAGUGAAAAUUUGUCACAAUUUUUUGGAUCAAUCGAAUGAAUGAAUCUUUAAAAUCGACUGAUUACAAGAAAAACAACCACGUAAUCAUUGUUCAAAUCCAAACCAAAAACAACCCAAAAAAAA
This is a long non-coding RNA of Dermatophagoides pteronyssinus (European house dust mite), 433 nucleotides long. The record is from RefSeq and is a predicted model, not a curated record. Lineage: Eukaryota; Metazoa; Arthropoda; Arachnida; Sarcoptiformes; Pyroglyphidae.